Molecule: ribosomal RNA, 498 nt
Filed under: uncultured bacterium
Lineage: Bacteria
Description: bacterial SSU rRNA
Rfam family: Bacterial small subunit ribosomal RNA
Source: RNAcentral
CUGGCGGCAGGCUUACACAUGCAAGUCGAACGGUAGCAGGAGGAAGCUUGCUUUCUUGCUGACGAGUGGCGGACGGGUGAGUAAUGCUUGGGAAUCUGGCUUAUGGAGGGGGAUAACUACUGGAAACGGUAGCUAAUACCGCGUAAUAUCGAGAGAUUAAAGGGUGGGACUUUCGGGCCACCUGCCAUAAGAUGAGCCCAAGUGGGAUUAGGUAGUUGGUGGGGUAAAGGCCUACCAAGCCUGCGAUCUCUAGCUGGUCUGAGAGGAUGGCCAGCCACACUGGAACUGAGACACGGUCCAGACUCCUACGGGAGGCAGCAGUGGGGAAUAUUGCACAAUGGGGGGAACCCUGAUGCAGCCAUGCCGCGUGAAUGAAGCAGGCCUUCGGGUUGUAAAGUUCUUUCGGUGAUGAGGAAGGUGUUUUGUUUAAUAGACAAAGCAAUUGACGUUAGUCACAGAAGAAGCACCGGCUAACUCCGUGCCAGCAGCCGCGGUAAU